This 253-nucleotide ribosomal RNA is filed under the name uncultured bacterium. RNAcentral's name for it is "partial 16S ribosomal RNA". It matches the Rfam family "Archaeal small subunit ribosomal RNA", at positions 474 to 727 of the family's 1478-position model. The record is from RNAcentral.
UACCCGCAGCACAAGUGGUGGUCAUUAUUAUUGGGCCUAAAGCGUCCGUAGCUGGCCUGUUAGAUGCCUGGGUAAAUCGAUGCGCUCAACGCAUCGAACUCCGGGUAGACCGGCAGGCUCGAGACCGGGAGAGGCGUGAGCUACUCGGGGGGUAGGGGUAAAAUCCUGUAAUCCUCCGGGGAGGACCAGUGGCGAAGGCGUCACGCUAGAACGGCUCUGACAGUGAGGGACGAAGCCCUGGGGCGCAAACCGG